UAGAAACAAAUGAAUACUAUGAAGGGGCCCUUUAUUUGUUGUUGGAUUGUAGUUUUAAUUUUAAUUAUUGCACAUCGUCCGAGUUGUCCCAAAGAGUGUCAAUAUUUGUGGUCAAGUUGCUGCGCAAUGCGUUAAGGCUUGGUGCUUGUUCCCGGUUACUAAUGAUUUCGUUACUUGGUCCUAUCAUCAUUCUCCGUGGCUAUAUUAUGUUUAAAACGCUUGCAUUCUUUAUUAAAUUCGAAUAUUUAAAUGUUUGCGAAUCGUAUUAAAGCAAAUCAAAUCUCUAA
Long non-coding RNA from Drosophila rhopaloa, 287 nucleotides. RefSeq lists it as uncharacterized. The record is from RefSeq and is a predicted model, not a curated record. The transcript has 2 exons. Lineage: Eukaryota; Metazoa; Arthropoda; Insecta; Diptera; Drosophilidae.